CACCAGCCACAUCUUCCCUUUCUGCUCUCCGCAGAGACUGUUCCCUCUGCAACUCCCCGGUCAACUAAAUACAUGGUUAGAAAAUGAUCUCGUGAGCAGAUGGUGGUCAAUAGGUCAGUUGUCUUUUUUAAUAGUUUUCUGUAUUUUCAUAAAUGAUCAUUUUAUUCCAUUUUAUCGGCAGUUGCUGUUUUUAUAAUUGCUUCACAAACUAAUCUCCAUAUGCUUGUAUUCCUGCAGUCUUUUGUUCGGUCACUGGGAGUCAGUAUAUUACAACAUUUGAUGGGACUCGAUAUUACUUCUUCGGCGGAUGUGUCCAUAUCUUAGUGAAAACGAAUGCUUUUGUUAUCUACAUUGGCACAAACACAUGCCAAAUGGUAAGAUGAGUGAGCGUGAAAGUAAUUCUGUCGGAUAUGAACUAAGGUAGAGGCUACUGCAUGGAUCUCUCUUUCACAGGUUUACAUUCCUUGUUUUAUGCAGAAAGAGGAGACAAAAUGCAAAUCAACCCUUUGUGUCCAGAUAAUUGCAUUUAUGGAACAUAAGUAGCUCAUACGGUCAUAAGUGAUAAAAGCAGAAUUAGGCCAUUCGGCCCAUCAAGUCUACUCCGCCAUUCAAUCAUGGCUGAUCUAGCUCUCCCUCCUAACCCAUUCUCCUGCCUUCUCCUCAUAACCCCUGACACCCAUACUAAUUAAGAAUCUAUCUAUCUCUGCCUUAAAUAUAUUUAUUGACUCCACAGCCUUCUGGGACAGAAUUCCACAGAUUCACCACCCUCUGACUAAAAUUGAACCUCAUCUCCUUCCUAUAGGAGCAUCCUUUGAAUUCUGAGGCUACGACCUCUAGUCCUAGCCUCUCCCACUAGUGGAAACAUCCUCUUCAUAUCCACUCUAUCCAAGUCUUUCACUAUUCUGUACGUUUCAUUGAGGUUCCCCCUCAUUCUUCUAAAUUCAGCGAGUACAGGCCCAGUGCCAUCAAAUGCUCAUCAUAUGUUAACCCACUCAUUCCUGGGAUCAUUCUUGUAAACCUCCUCUGGACCCUAUCCAGAGCCAGACAUCCUUCCUCAGAUAUGCAUCCCAAAAUAGCUCUUGUCCAUUCACUGGUUCAAGGACUAGAGGUCAGAAGGGGGAAGUUUGAAAGUUGUGCUGGGCAAGUAUUUUUACAUGGAGGUGGUGGGUACCUGGAAUGCGCUGCCAGGGGUGGUGAUGGAGGCAGAUACGAUAGUGGCAUUUAAGAGGCUUUUAGAUAUGGAUCAUGUGCAGGCAGAGGGAAUAAUUUCCACUUGACACCAUGUUCAAUACCAACAUUUCCAUUCAUCCCCUGAUUCCUCCCUUCCCCAGGAAUGUUUUCAGUUGUGCUUCAACCCUGUUCGUUGUCUCCAUUUGCCUCAUUGAGUUAUUCUGAUCACUUUAUGCACCUGUACGCCACCUUUGUGGGUCAAGAAUAUCUUUCAUUAUGAAACAAGAAUAUCUUUCAUUCAUUUGUUCUGUAUCUCUCUACAUCACCGCCUAUAUCUGUUUCCAUUUCCCCUGAGUCUCAGUCUGAAGAAGAGUCUCGACCCAAAACGUCGCCCAUUCCUUCUCUCCAGAGAUUCUGCCUGAACCGUUGAGUUACUCCAGCUUUUUGUGUCUGCCGUUCUGUAGAGUUGGAACAUGGAUUGCAUCUUGCCUCAGUAUUUAACUUCCUACGAUUACUGAAUUGCAACACAUUACAUCUGCCUGACUUUCUUCAUUACUACAAUUUGUUAAAUUUUCAACGUGUUCUGUGAGUUAAGAACGUUCACUACAUCAAACGAUUUGACGAUCAGCUUUUGCCAAUUGAUUAAUGAUUUCCAUUGAUUCAAUUCAAUUAUUUUGAACACUCUGUUCUCAAAGAAGUUUUAUUACACUGAGAGGCUCCAAGUCGUGGCUGGGAACCUUUCCACUGCUCAGUCUGCCUCGACCUACCUGAUCUCCUAGUUUCCAAACACUUCAAUUCUUCUUAAAUGUUUGAAAGAUUGAAGAAUAGGUCUCGACCCAAAAAGUCAUCUACCACGUUCUCCAGAGCUGCUGCCUGACCCGCUGACUUACUUCAGCAAUUUUUGUCUGAGACAGUGUUUAGUCAGUAUAAAGUGUUUUACAGUUAAGGCCCUGUCCCACUGUACAAGGUAAUUCAAGAGUUUUCCCGAGUUUUCCCCUGAUUCGAACUCUGGGAAUGUACGUAGCGGGUACGUAGGAGCUCGUGGAUGUCUCGUAGUGGCUCAUAAUGCUAACGGCAGGUGCUCGGGAAAUGCGGUAACUCGUGAAGUUUUUUCAACACUGUGAAAAAUGUCCAAGAGUAAAAAAAUACUUGUGAUGAACUUACCACGAGUUUGAUUUUUUUUUUUAAACUCGGGAGAGCUCUUGAGUAAACUCGCAUAGUGGGACAGGGGCUUGUGUUUAGCUUCUAAAGAACUGUAGAGUGUACGAGACAAAAUCUUUCAAGUUUGAACCUCUCCAAGAUUAAUUGAUAGUGGAAGUUGAACAGGAAAAAUCAUAGGGUGGGUUGUUUGGAGGUACUGAAACCACCACUCAAAGUCGGGAAAGCUUGAAAAGGGAUAUUCAAUUGUGUUGAUCAACGGGGUGGUGUGGUGGUGCAACGGGAGAGUUGCUACCUCACAGCACCAGAGACUCGGGUGCUGUGAGGCUACGGGUGCUGUCCGUGCAGAGUUUGUAUCCCGUGAUCUGCGUGGGUUUUCUCUGAGAUCUUCGGUUUCCUUCCACACUCCAAAGAUGUACAGGUUUCUAGGUUUAAUUGGCUUGGUAAAUGUAAAAAUUGUCCCUAGUUAAUAUGCGGGGAUUGCUGGUCGGCGCGGAGCCAGUGGGCCGAAGGGCCUGUUUCCGCGCUGUUUCUCGAAACUAAACCAAACUAAAUUCUUCCUGUGACUGACGUGGGUUUUCCCCAAGAUCUUCGGUUUCCUCCCACACUCCAAAGACGUACAGGUUUGUAGUUUAAUUGGUUCAGUAUAAUUCUCCCAGUGUGCGUAGGGUAGUGUUGAUAUGCGGGGAUCGCUGGUCGGUGCGAACUCGGUGGGCCAAAGUGCCUGUUUCUGUGCUGUGUCUCUAAACUAAACUAAACUAAACUGUACAAACCAGUUGUUCAAUUUAGUUUUAUUGUUUAGUUUAUCAUCACGUGUGUAAAGGUACAGUGAAAAGCUUUUGUUGCGUGUUAUCCAGUCAGCAGAAAGACAAUACAUGAUUACAAUCGACCUAUUACCAGCGUACAGAUACAUGAUAAGGGAAUACCCUUUCGUGCAAGGUAAAAAAGAUCAAAGUUGCUGCUCUUAAAUAGAAUGACACAAUUCGAUUAUUUUGUUUUCCUCAGGAUGAUAGUGGUAUCUGUAUUGAAUACAUCAUCCUGACAAUCAAGGGGUUUGGAAUGUCAAUUAAGCUAACUAAAACUGGCCGUGUGUAUCUUGGACAGAGAGAAAUUGGGCUUCCCUACGUCUAUGAGACAGUCCCGAUCCUGACUAUUCGCCGAGCCACAUCAAUGUUCAUCGAGAUUCUGAGUGGAACUGGUGUCCAUAUCCAGUACGAUUUCAAGGGAGGGAGAGUCUACGUAAUCAUCCAACCAUCUUUCAUUGGAGAAACUUUGGGCCUUUGUGGAACUUUUAACCGGAAUCACCCGAGUGAUUUCAUGUCGUCAAGUUACUUAAUUGAUUUUGUCCCAAAGGCCUUUGUAAACUCCUGGAAAGCAAGCCCGCAAUGUGUUGACAUACCUACGUUACCUGUCUUUGAGCCUUGUAAGGGCAGCCUCGAGAAAGGUAACCGAUUCUCCAUUCCAACCGUACAACAGGGAAACAAGUCCUUCGUCCCAACUUGCCCAUACCAACCAAGAUACCCCACUCAAACUAGUCUCAUUUGCCUGCGUUUGGCCCGGAUCCUCCCUGAACCAUUCUUUUCCAUGUACCUGUCCAAAUACAUGUUAAAUAUUGUUAUUUUACCUGCCUCAACUACGUCCCCUGGCAACUCAUUCCAUACACUCACAGCCCUCUGUGUGAAAAGGUUGCCCCUCAGCUUCCUAUUAAAUCUUGCCCCUCUAGUCCUAGUCAUAGAUUCAUACAGCGUGGAAACAGGCCCUUUUACCUAACGUGCACAUGUCCCAGCUCCACAUCCCAGCAUGUCCCAGCUACACUAGUCCCACCUGUCUGCAUUUUUCCCAUAUCCCUCAAAACCUGUCCUAUCCAUGUACCUGUCUAACUGUUUCUUAAACGUUGCGAUAGUCCCAGCCUCAACUACCUCCUCUGGCAGCUCGCUUGAUUCACCCACAACAGUUUGUGUGAAAAAACAAAGUUUAAACGAGAACUUACCGUUUGAGGUUUGAUCUUUAUUUUAUGAGAAGUUGAAGUGAGGGAAUAUACGUGAAGAGCCCGCCAGCCCGCAUGCGUGCCAAUCUUCAGAGCAACUGUAUGAAACCACAGACUAGUUGAAGAACUUAAACUAUAGAAAGACUAACGAGACUAGAGUUAACGGGUGAUCUUUUAUGAGAAUCAGGGUUGGGAGUGGAGGGCACGUAUUCCCUCACUUCAACUUCUCAUAAAAUAAAGAUCAAACCUCAAACGGUAAGUUCUUGUUAAAUUUUUCUAUUUUAGUUUGAAGUCACGUGAGUGACUACGUGAAGCUUUCAAAGCAAUGUGGUUUCAUGCAGUAACCCAAUCUGUGUGUGAAACACUUAAACAGAUAAAACCAUAAAUGGUAAAAAGACAUGGGUUAUUAACAACAUGAUGCUAAAUUGCAUACAUGGCCAUUGCUCUUAAUCGGACCAUAGUCCCAAUUGGCUUUUGAGUUAGACAAUAACUCAUGCCACACUAUACAGAAUUCUUUCUGCAAUCAUUCAGACAUAUUCAACCAAAAUGUUAUAACUUCUGAAAGUGCACUAUGUAAACCUCCUGCUGUUGCAAGAAGAUGGACAAAUGGGAAUAUCCAUUCUAUUGGCUGCUAAUGAGCCACCAACAAUCUCUUGAAACUAUUAAUUAACAAUGAAGAAAGUAUCCUUCAUUGCAUAGAUACCCGCAAACUCUGUGUACCUGUAUACAUAAUAACACCCCCAAUCUCCAAUCUGGUAGAUAUGCAACUCCAACUUGUACCCAACCAUGCCCGUUUAGCUUUAUGAGAUCAUUCUCAUAACAAGCUACCCUCAUGUCAGAUAUGACCCAGAGAUGGAGCCAGAGAUUGAGUAAAGCGUAUGUUCUUUGUGCUGAAUCAGCUGCUUCAACUUAAAAGAUUCUGCUCUCAUGAGGAAACCAGUAGAUAAAUAUCUGCAUAAUAACUUACUGAUAAACAUUCCACACCACUAUGAGUUGCUUGCUUGAUGUUGAUCAACAAUGGGAGAAUAACCAAUGAUUAACUGUUCCACUUAUGGCACUAUAGAGAUCUUCCUCCAGUGAAUCUCCUAUCCCCAAAGGGAUGGCAAAUAUGUGACAAGAGCUGGUAGCUCCCACAUAUCAUCGAUAAAUCAUUGGAUUCAGAUAUCCUCUUAAUAUUCCCAUAAUCGGAGUCACCUCUGUAAUAUUCAACAAUACACCCCUCAUCAGAGUGAGAGGAAUACUGCAACCCUGAGCCAGGUGCUGCCACAGGCAUAUGGAUGGAGCCGCCUGUUAAUGCCUCCAGUGCACAGAGAAUAUUUUGUUCACACGAUUAAAAUGAAGAAUAUCCCGCAUUAGUUCAAGGAUUUGAUUGCUUUAUCGAUAUCCACAUAGUUGGAGUCACUUAUUAUAACCAUAUAACAAUUACAGCACGGAAACAGGCCAUCUCGGCCCUACAAGUCCGUGCCGAACAAUUAUUUUCCCUUAGUCUCACCUGCCUGCACUCAUACCAUAACCCUCCAUUCCGUUCUCAUCCAUAUGCCUAUCCAAUUUAUUUUUAAAUUAUGCCAACGAACCUGCCUCCACCACUUCCACUGGAAGCUCAUUCCACACCGCUACCACUCUCUGAGUAAAGAAGUUCCCCCUCAUGUUACCCAUAAACCUCUGUCCCUUAAUUCUGAAGUCAUGUCCUCUUGUUUGAAUCUUCCCUAUUCUCAAAGAGAAAAGCUUGUCCACAUCAACUCUGUCUAUCCCUCUCAUCAUUUUAAAGACCUCUAUCUAGUCCCCCCCUUAGAAACAUAGAAACAUAGAAAUUAGGUGCAGGAGUAGGCCAUUCGGCCCUUCGAGCCUGCACCGCCCUUCAAUAUGAUCAUGGCUGAUCAUCCAACUCAGUAUCCCUUAACCUUCUGCGCUCCAGAGAAUAAAGACCUAACUUAUUCAACCUUUCUCUGUAACUUAGUUGUUGAAACCCAGGCAACAUUCUAGUAAAUCUCCUCUGUACUCUCUCUAUUUUGUUGACAUCCUUCCUAUAAUUGGGUGACCAAAAUUGUACACCAUACUCCAGAUUUGGUCUCACCAAUGCCUUGUACAAUUUUAACAUUACAUCCCAGCUUCUAUACUCAAUGCUCUGAUUUAUAAAGGCUAGCAUACCAAAAGCUUUCUUUACCACCCUAUCUAUAUGAGAUUCCACCUUCAAGGAACUAUGCACGGUUAUUCCCAGAUCCCUCUGUUCAGCUGCAUUCUUCAAUUCCCUACCAUUUACCAUGUACGUCCUAUUUUGAUUUGUCCUGCCAAGGUGUAGCACCUCACAUUUAUCAGCAUUAAACUCCAUCUGCCAUCUUUCAGCCCAUUCUUCCAAAUGGCCUAAAUCACUCUGUAGACUUUGGAAAUCCUCUUCAUUAUCCACAACACCCCCAAUCUUGGUAUCAUCUGCAUACUUACUAAUCCAAUUUACCACACCUUCAUCCAGAUCAUUGAUGUACAUGACAAACAACAAAGGACCCAAAACAGAUCCCUGAGGCACCCCACUCCACCUGCCUCCAACCCGACAAAAACAGCCACCCACCAUUACCCUCUGGCGUCUCCCAUUCAGCCACUGUUGAAUCCAUCUUGCUACUCCUGCAUUUAUACCCAACAGUUGAACCUUCUUAACCAACCUUCCAUGAGGAACCUUGUCAAAGGCCUUACUAAAGUCCAUAUAGACAACAUCCACUGCUUUACCCUCGUCAAUUUCCCUAGU
This is a long non-coding RNA of Leucoraja erinaceus (little skate), 7052 nucleotides long. RefSeq lists it as uncharacterized. Lineage: Eukaryota; Metazoa; Chordata; Chondrichthyes; Rajiformes; Rajidae. The transcript is spliced from 3 exons. The record is from RefSeq and is a predicted model, not a curated record.